AGACAGAGAUGGACAGAGAGAGGUUAAUACUCAAUGAUUCCUGUUUCAUGAUUGUACUGCCCUCUGGCGUUUAGUUAUAGUUUCUAGUCGGACUCAUUUCAGUGACGGACCUGUUAGAGCAAUAGCGCAGAAAUCAGUCACGAGUUUGCUUCAUUACACAGCUUGGUCAAAUAUGUGUCUUCUUACAGACUUAAAUGGAGAAAAGAUUAAGAAAUAAAACUGAGGAA
Siniperca chuatsi (mandarin fish) is the source of this 227-nucleotide long non-coding RNA. RefSeq lists it as uncharacterized. The record is from RefSeq and is a predicted model, not a curated record. NCBI's taxonomy places the organism in Eukaryota, Metazoa, Chordata, Actinopteri, Centrarchiformes, Sinipercidae. The transcript has 2 exons.